UCUAUACUUCACCUCUGUUCUGGAGUUUUGCAUACGUUUUCAAAAAUAAAGCUCAGUGUUCCUAGCUAUGAUUCUCUCAAGUCUCUCUAUAUGUGGUAUUUGUGGAUCCUUACAAAGAUGUCACCUACCUAUAGCUAAUGGCAUAUUCAAGUGGAGCUCAUAGGAGUGAAAAACAACUCUUACAUAUGUUGUCUAAUCGAGCCAUGGAUCCAAAGGAACUCAGCAUAUAAUUAAAUCAAGAUGUCCAUGUGUGGUGGAGUAAACUAUGGUGAUGGUAAAAAUGUAUAAGUGAUAAUAAAACUUACUUCUCAUUGCUCCUCAUAUUGCUAUCUCUCUCUCUCUUGAUCUUUACUUUUGGGAGAACAUGGGCUAUCUUCUUCUUUUUUUCAGGUGGGUAGUAAAUACCCCUAAUUCUACUAUCAGACACUUGUCCAUUUUUUCCGCUCAGGUGGGCAUCUUUGUGCCCCUAAUUCUACUCCAGACACUUGUCCAUUUUUUCCUCUCGUCUCACUUUUUUUUUCUUUUUCGAGGUUCCAGGCACUUGCCCCUUUUUAUUUCCUUGCAUAUUUUUGCAUAACCCAUGCCUCUUGUGCAUUGAAUCUUUUUGGAGAGAGAGAAUAACAACACUUGGGACAAUGUGUGAUAAUAUUUUUAGCAAUUUUAAUGAAUGGUUGUGGAUGGUGUAGUAGAUGUGUGCAAGUGAAUAUCUUAAUUUAACCACAUGAAAAGCUCCUAAGGGUCUACACAGCUCGAUCAAACUCAAUGUGAAUACAAGUAGCAAAAGAUGUUAUAGCAAGUAUGGCUGUGGUAGGAAUUUUGUCAUGCUAGGAACUCAUCAUGUGAUUUGCAAGUUUUCAAAAUAAAUCUCCAGAACUCAGUGUUGUUAGAACAAGAUAAACAAUAGCUCAGACUUUAUACCAUGUCUUUCUCUUACCUAGACUUUAGUUUUAGGCUCAUGCUCCCAUAAAUAUUAAAUUUCAAGUUUUAGUAAUUCUUGGGAGAAUUCUAAUUUGAAAGCUAGGUACUUACAAGUAAGCAAACAGAGCAAUCAUCAUUUCCAUCAUGCAUCUUUUUGGUUUUCAUUUUCUUGAGAUUAAACUUAGCAGGAAAAAUAAAGCACACUUAUC
Molecule: long non-coding RNA, 1127 nt
Filed under: Sorghum bicolor (sorghum)
Lineage: Eukaryota; Viridiplantae; Streptophyta; Magnoliopsida; Poales; Poaceae
Description: long non-coding RNA (SBIC_LNC016220)
Source: RNAcentral